CCAGACUCCUACGGGAGGCAGCAGUGGGGAAUAUUGCACAAUGGGCGGAAGCCUGAUGCAGCAACGCCGCGUGCGGGAUGACGGCCUUCGGGUUGUAGACCGCUUUCGCCUGUGACGAAGCGUGAGUGACGGUAAUGGGUAAAGAAGCACCGGCUAACUACGUGCCAGCAGCCGCGGUGAUACGUAGGGUGCGAGCGUUGUCCGGAUUUAUUGGGCGUAAAGGGCUCGUAGGUGGUUGAUCGCGUCGGAAGUGUAAUCUUGGGGCUUAACCCUGAGCGUGCUUUCGAUACGGGUUGACUUGAGGAAGGUAGGGGAGAAUGGAAUUCCUGGUGGAGCGGUGGAAUGCGCAGAUAUCAGGAGGAACACCAGUGGCGAAGGCGGUUCUCUGGGCCUUUCCUGACGCUGAGGAGCGAAAGCGUGGGGAGCGAACAGGCUUAGAUACCCUGGUAGUCCACGCUGUAAACGGUGGGUACUAGGUGUGGGGUCCAUUCCACGGGUUCCGUGCCGUAGCUAACGCUUUAAGUACCCCGCCUGGGGAGUACGGCCGCAAGGCUAAAACUCAAAGGAAUUGACGGGGGCCCGCACAAG
RNAcentral lists this ribosomal RNA (588 nucleotides) under uncultured bacterium. RNAcentral's name for it is "bacterial SSU rRNA". It matches the Rfam family "Bacterial small subunit ribosomal RNA", at positions 331 to 929 of the family's 1533-position model. The record is from RNAcentral.